Molecule: long non-coding RNA, 1951 nt
Organism: Osmia lignaria (orchard mason bee)
Lineage: Eukaryota; Metazoa; Arthropoda; Insecta; Hymenoptera; Megachilidae
Source: RefSeq, a predicted model, not a curated record
UUGCGGUACGUGAAGCGCAGUACCGUCGCUGAAGCCCCCUUGCGAUACAUAGUGGUGCCACCUAGCGGAACACUUCCCGUCUUCUGUACGGCUGCAAUCGUUGCAUGGAGUCAGUCGUUUCACGAAUACCGCGGGUAGUUUGCGCGAAGGCUCGCCGCCGCCUUUAACCGUUGUACGACGGAUCGUCCGUCGUUUCGCGGUCCGAGGUUCGUCCGCGUGUCUUCGACCACCUUUCCCGCCUGGAUUUUUGUGUGGUUUUACUCGUCGGAUUUGAGUGACAAUCGCAAGCGAUGUAACCGUGCCCUGACGUCACACGGCUAAUCAAGUGCACACACGAACACAAACACAGGCGCGCGCGCGCCUGCUACUCGUAUCCGUAUACACGGAUGGUCUACGCAGCCUGCACGCAGUAUACUACGUACAAACACGUAUAGGGCUGUGCACACGGCCAAACUGAUAGAGAACGAAGGAGAGGGAAGAAACAGUGAGAUCGCGAAAGACAGAGGAGAAAGAACGGAAACAGAGAGAUAAGAAAGAAAGGAAGAUAUAUAUGUAUAUAUAUAUGCAUGCGUGUAUAUAUAUAUAUAUACGUUACGUAGCGUGAAAACGGUAUUAGAGAAAAGAGGUGAGGCGUAAGACGUAUACAACGGAGGACAUUUCACACUGGCACAUACAUCUAUACGUGAUUAGUGAGUCUUUCGUCUUCGUAAAAUACUGUACGCAGAUAAUUAUUGGUGAAAAAGGACAGUGAGCUUGGACGUUUGUUCGAUUGUGAUAUUGGGUAAUCGAUUUUUCUCGAAUCCCGUGUUUUUGUGUCUCUCUGUAAAGGAUUUCGCGUUUUCGACACGUGCAAGACAAGGCUAUGAAAUAGAAUAAAGAAGAGGAGGAAAGAGUGAGAGAGAAGUAUCUACAUCUCGUGGCGCCCCGUUGUGUUUUUCUACGGAAAGCUGUGCUCGGAACCUGCGUGAACUCUCAGAGUGGAAGAAAACGUUUGGUAGGGAGUAAACGGAAUAGUAGAAAAAAAAAGUUCCUUGCGGAUGACGAAUGAUAAAAAAAUUCUUUGCGGGUUUCUGUUGGUUUGAGAUUAGUGAAAUCGACGAAGAAGCGAGCGAAGCCUGAACUGGAACGGAGUCCGAUGGACGAGAACAAGUUUUAUCCUAAUCGAGUCGGUCAGUUGAGUGAUCGGCAAGAUUACGAAGGUUAGAAGAUCACCCGAAACGGAAAUUCAUCGAGGACGGAAGAAGCUUCUUCGAUUUGAUCGUGAGGAGGCGAUUUCUAAAAGAAAUAAUAAUUCUACGGCGCCUGGAAGAAAAACGUUUCUCCCUCGGUGAUAUCUUCGUAGAAGAUAUCUGUCAUUGAAUAUUUACAGGAGAUAUUUGGAAGUUUGGAAAAGGAGAGAGAAAAGCGAUAAUGCUUCUGUGUAAUGAGAACGACGCGACGGGCUAAGAAAAAAGACAGGGAACGCCUGAGGUUUCUAUUCUUCGCCGGUAGAUUACGCAUACGGUUAACGAGAAGGAGACACAAAUAUCUUGGCUUGCACGUUAGCGAGCGAGAAAGUAGCGUGUCGAAAAGUGAACUCGAUAUUCGAGGACGAAAAGGAAACGAAGGUGUGACGGUGCUCGGUCGAUAAGGAGAGUUCUAAAGUGUCUCGUGAAGACCGAGGGGAAAGGAAAAAAGUCUACUCCGAUAUAAUAUUUCGCGGUAGUGAAUUUCGACGGCGAGGCGCGAAUAUAUCCGUCGAAAGUACUCCGAAUGUCGGUUAACGAAGAGGAAAAAUACGAUAGAACGAUGCGAUUAAGAACGCGUGUUUUGUACGUGAGUGUCGGUGGAGGGAAAGAAACUAUUCGCCUUCGUUGAUUUUCAACACGAGACCGAGUGAUGAAUUGUUUCGAACAUUCGAAUUACUAAGUAUUUCAAUUCGACGGUGUUUAAAAAAAGAAAAAAAACAAAA